RNAcentral lists this ribosomal RNA (497 nucleotides) under uncultured bacterium. RNAcentral describes it as "partial 16S ribosomal RNA". It matches the Rfam family "Bacterial small subunit ribosomal RNA", at positions 28 to 507 of the family's 1533-position model. The record is from RNAcentral.
GAUGAACGCUGGCGGCGUGCCUAAUACAUGCAAGUCGAGCGAACGGACGAGAAGCUUGCUUUUCUGAUGUUAGCGGCGGACGGGUGAGUAACACGUGGAUAACCUACCUAUAAGACUGGGAUAACUUCGGGAAACCGGAGCUAAUAUCGGAUAAUAUUUUGAACCGCAUGGUUCAAAAGUGAAAGACGGUCUUGCUGUCACUUAUAGAUGGAUCCGCGCUGCAUUAGCUAGUUGGUAAAGUAACGGCUUACCAAGGCAACGAUGCAUAGCCGACCUGAGAGGGUGAUCGGCCACACUGGAACUGAGACACGGUCCAGACUCCUACGGGAGGCAGCAGUAGGGAAUCUUCCGCAAUGGGCGAAAGCCUGACGGAGCAACGCCGCGUGAGUGAUGAAGGUCUUCGGAUCGUAAAACUCUGUUAUUAGGGAAGAACAUAUGUGUAAGUAACUGUGCACAUCUUGACGGUACCUAAUCAGAAAGCCACGGCUAACUACGUG